UGUAACCUGAGGUCCAAUAUUCUUCUUGGGAUUGGUGGUAAAAGAAAAAAUAAAUAAAAAUGAAAACAGAAAUAAAUAAAUAAAUACCAAAAGAUUAAAAAUAAAGUAAAAAAUAAAAAAUAAAAAGAAAACACUCACGCUUCCCUUAUAAAUACCACCUCUCUUCCUCGCCUAAACCUACACCUUCUCUUCCUCCUCCUCUUCCUCUGCCUAUCCUCUUCUGCUUCAUUUCUUUUUUUCUCUCCCUUUUGACAAUUCAAUUCAGUUUCAAAGAAUGUUAUCUAGUUUGUACUCUUUUUUUAUUUUAUUUUUUGUUUUUUUGGUUGGUUCACUUUGAAUGACCCUCUUUGUAUUUUUCCACAGCUUUCUUGAACUGCAUCUAUGUGAGAUCUUUGCAUGUGAAAAAGGGUUUUCUUUGAAUAUAUUCAUAUAUAUAUAUGUAUCUGUAUCUCUGCUUUGGUUGCGGUUCAAUAAAGCUGUGGGAAGAUACAUAUAGGGUCAAGGAAAAAAAAAAAAAAAAAAGAAACUUCAAGAUCGGAUUGACUUUCGGCUACCUCCUCCAUGUGGAUCCGUCAAGAACUCAAAACGGGUCACUGCUGGGCCACCAAUACCAAAGAAUAUUCAAAUGCGCAGCAAAAGCUGGAAUCUGCUGUGAAUUUAGAUGGAUUUACAGGUGGAACUCUCACGGGGACUCUAAUCCAUCCAAUUAAUAAGGCCAACCCUUUUAGUUCUAAUAAUAAUGAUACUUACGCACAUCACACACAUCAUAUGAAUAGACCUACUUUUCUUUUUUAUACAUAAUACAUGUUUUAAUGUAGCCCACAAAUCAGACACCAACUUUAAUGCCAACCUAUUUUUUUGUUGGACA
Molecule: long non-coding RNA, 868 nt
Organism: Ziziphus jujuba (common jujube)
Lineage: Eukaryota; Viridiplantae; Streptophyta; Magnoliopsida; Rosales; Rhamnaceae
Exons: 2
Source: RefSeq, a predicted model, not a curated record